Molecule: unclassified non-coding RNA, 200 nt
Filed under: soil metagenome
Description: partial contains internal transcribed spacer 2 and large subunit ribosomal RNA
Source: RNAcentral
UUCGAGCGUCAUUUAAUCAUUCAAGCUCUGCUUGGUGUUGGGCUGUCACCCGGUGGGUGGGCCCUAAAGACAUUGGCAGUGCGGUCCGACUUCAGGCGUAGUAGUUUUCCCGCCUCGGAAGCUCCGGCCUGUGCCCGCCAGAUAAAACACCCUUAUCCAAAAUUGACCUCGGAUCAGGUAGGGAUACCCGCUGAACUUAA